This is a long non-coding RNA of Bubalus bubalis (water buffalo), 1209 nucleotides long. RefSeq lists it as uncharacterized. The record is from RefSeq and is a predicted model, not a curated record. The transcript is spliced from 2 exons. NCBI's taxonomy places the organism in Eukaryota, Metazoa, Chordata, Mammalia, Artiodactyla, Bovidae.
UUAAAAAAAAAAGGGGAGUGAUUAUAUUAUAAUAUGAUUAGUGGUAUGUCUAGGGAAGUGCAAGUACUCAGGGAGAUCUUCUAGAAAAAAUGACUGACUCAUAUUCUAAGUCAAGAACUGACUCAUCUGGAAUAAGGUGUGUGGCAGAGGGUGGAAGAGGUCUGUGUGCCACGCUGAAUCACCUGCUAUGACACAGGUGUGUCUUCAAAGCUAUCGGAGCAGGAGCAAGGGGGUGAUGAGUCCUGUCUGAGGCUCUCGUAAUGCAGAAGCUAACAUGUGGGUUGGGUCUAAAGGAACGAGAGUCAAAGUGUAGCUGGAAGUGAUGGAAAAGCAUUCCAGGCAGAAGGAAAAGCACAGGAUGGAGCACAAAGGCAAGGUGCACGUCACAUUCUGGUGACAGAGGAGGUUCUGUGUCAUCAAAGUGUUGCUUUGGGAAGGAGGGCUGGAGCAGUCUGCGUGUCAUGUUCAGGGUGGGAGCAAAAGCAGAAGAAAAAGGCGCCAAGGCCAGGGCAAGAGAUUAGGGCCAGGUGGUGAAGCGCCUGUUCGGCUGUUGUGAAAACACUGUAAGUGGGCAGGAAAUGAACAUCAGAGAUUCAGUAAAGCAGCGCGCAUACACCCAGCUGCUAACCCAGGGGGAUAACUGAGAAUCGAAAAGAGGAAAUGGUUUCUGAGAAACCAGAGAAAGUAUUGCACAGAGCACUCAGCUCAGAGGCUUUUUUUUUUUUUUUUUGCUAUAAAAUCGAGCAAGCCCUUCCUGCGGCACAGGGUUGACCACAUCAUCUGCAGGGCCCAGAGCAAACUGAAAAUGUGGAGCCUCUUGUUCAUAAAUGAUGAAGAAUUUCAAGAUGAUGAGAGGAGAGUAUUAACUCAAGUGCAGGACCCUUCUAAGUGUGGGGCCUUGUGUCACUGCCGAGGUCACAGCCCACAAAGCCAGGGUUGCUGAAGUAUUGGUGCUAAAGGGCACCUUGUCGCUAAUGGGCAGAGUGCAGAUUAAUUGCUUAAGAAGAAAAGAUGGCUGUUCCAUGAGUGGAAAGGUACAGAGUCCUUGGUGCUCAAGAUAUGGCCAUCAAGAUGGAAGCUUUAACUGGAGAGCCUGUGAAAGUGCAUAUUUACAGAAAAGACAGAGCUUUUAUUCAUAUAACCUGAUUUUUCAUUUAUGUUAAAAUUUAUUUGGUUUUAUGGAAUGAGGAUUAAAGUGUUCAUCCAGCA